This 707-nucleotide ribosomal RNA is filed under the name uncultured bacterium. Its description in RNAcentral is "bacterial SSU rRNA". It matches the Rfam family "Bacterial small subunit ribosomal RNA", at positions 8 to 672 of the family's 1533-position model. The record is from RNAcentral.
AGAGUUUGAUCCUGGCUCAGGAUGAACGCUGGCGGCGUGCCUAACACAUGCAAGUCGAACGAGAAGCUAACCUCUGAUUCCUUCGGGAUGAUGAGGUUGGCAGAAAGUGGCGAACGGGUGAGUAACGCGUGGGUAAUCUACCCUGUAGGUGGGGGAUAACCCUCCGAAAGGAGGGGUAAUACCGCAUAAUAUCUUCUCCUCCUAAGAGAAGAAGAUUAAAGAUGGCCUCUAUACUAUGCUAUCGCUUCAGGAUGAGCCUGCGUCCUAUUAGUUAGUUGGUGGGGUAAUGGCCUACCAAGACCACAAUGGGUAGCCGGUCUGAGAGGAUGUACGGCCACACUGGGACUGAGAUACGGCCCAGACUCCUACGGGAGGCAGCAGUGGGGAAUAUUGCGCAAUGGGGGAAACCCUGACGCAGCGACGCCGCGUGGAUGAUGAAGGCCUUUGGGUUGUAAAAUCCUGUUCUGGGGGAAGAAACCUUAAGGGUCCAAUAAACCCUUAAGCUGACGGUACCCCAAGAGAAAGCUCCGGCUAAUUAUGUGCCAGCAGCCGCGGUAAUACAUAAGGAGCAAGCGUUAUCCGGAAUUAUUGGGCGUAAAGAGCUCGUAGGCGGUCUUAAAAGUCAGGUGUGAAAUUAUCAGGCUCAACCUGAUAAGGUCAUCUGAAACUUUAAGACUUGAGGAUAGAAGAGGAAAGUGGAAUUCCCG